Molecule: ribosomal RNA, 663 nt
Filed under: Lophodermium macci
Lineage: Eukaryota; Fungi; Ascomycota; Leotiomycetes; Rhytismatales; Rhytismataceae
Description: eukaryotic LSU rRNA
Rfam family: 5.8S ribosomal RNA (bases 300-453)
Source: RNAcentral
GCGAGAGGCGACACGCUAAAUGUGCGGAGAGUCCUGGCUCGCCAGGCAAUCCGCAGUCACCCUCGGGUGAUUCAGAGACUCAAUGAGCGUGGGUUCUUUUAAAGAGCUUGAGAUAGAGCCCGUCCUCGCUGGUCACGGCGGGGGUUCAACGGAACCUGCGGAAGGAUCAUUAAAGAAUAAACGGGCCUCCGGGCCCCCUAUUCUCACCCUAUGUUUACCACACUUUGUUGCCUUGGCGCACUGCGCCAGCGGAUCAAAACCCUUGAAUCAUUGCUGUCUGAGUACUAUAUAAUAGUUAAAACUUUCAACAACGGAUCUCUUGGUUCUGGCAUCGAUGAAGAACGCAGCGAAAUGCGAUAAGUAAUGUGAAUUGCAGAAUUCAGUGAAUCAUCGAAUCUUUGAACGCACAUUGCGCCCUCUGGUAUUCCGGGGGGCAUGCCUGUUCGAGCGUCAUUACAACCCUCAAGCUCUGCUUGGUAUUGGGCUCGCCCUGUAGGGCUUGCCUCAAAGUCAGUGGCGGCUACCGUCCGACCUUCAGCGCAGUACUAUUCGUCGCUGUUAGGGAAGGCCUAUAACCCGUCAUCACAACCCCCACUUUACAAGGUUGACCUCGGAUCAGGUAGGGAUACCCGCUGAACUUAAGCAUAUCAAUAGGCGGGAGGA